AACACGUGGGCAACCUGCCUGUAAGACUGGGAUAACUUCGGGAAACCGGAGCUAAUACCGGAUAAUCCUUUCCCUCACAUGAGGGAAAGCUGAAAGACGGUUUCGGCUGUCACUUACAGAUGGGCCCGCGGCGCAUUAGCUAGUUGGUGAGGUAACGGCUCACCAAGGCGACGAUGCGUAGCCGACCUGAGAGGGUGAUCGGCCACACUGGGACUGAGACACGGCCCAGACUCCUACGGGAGGCAGCAGUAGGGAAUCUUCCGCAAUGGACGAAAGUCUGACGGAGCAACGCCGCGUGAGCGAAGAAGGCCUUCGGGUCGUAAAGCUCUGUUGUUAGGGAAGAACAAGUAUCGGAGUAACUGCCGGUACCUUGGCGGUACCUAACCAGAAAGCCACGGCUAACUACGUGCCAGCAGCCGCGGUAAUACGUAGGUGGCAAGCGUUGUCCGGAAUUAUUGGGCGUAAAGCGCGCGCAGGCGGUCUC
RNAcentral lists this ribosomal RNA (484 nucleotides) under uncultured Bacillus sp. Its description in RNAcentral is "bacterial SSU rRNA". It matches the Rfam family "Bacterial small subunit ribosomal RNA", at positions 112 to 582 of the family's 1533-position model. Lineage: Bacteria; Bacillati; Bacillota; Bacilli; Caryophanales; Bacillaceae. The record is from RNAcentral.